This 65-nucleotide transfer RNA is filed under the name Parantica sita. RNAcentral describes it as "tRNA-His". Lineage: Eukaryota; Metazoa; Arthropoda; Insecta; Lepidoptera; Nymphalidae. The record is from RNAcentral.
AUUUAAAUAAUUUAAAUAAAAUAUUGAUUUGUGGAAUCAAAAAUAUGACAAAGUCAUUUUAAAUU